Molecule: ribosomal RNA, 402 nt
Filed under: uncultured bacterium
Lineage: Bacteria
Description: bacterial SSU rRNA
Rfam family: Bacterial small subunit ribosomal RNA
Source: RNAcentral
AUAAGUAGAGUGGCAAACGGGUGAGUAACACGUGGGUGACCUGCCUUCGAGCGGGGGAUAACGUCCCGAAAGGGACGCUAAUACCGCAUAACAUCCUGCCUUUUAAGAGGUGGAGAUCAAAGCCGGGGAUCGCAAGACCUGGCACUUGAAGAGGGGCCCGCGCCUGAUUAGCUAGUUGGUGGGGUAAUGGCCUACCAAGGCAACGAUCAGUAUCCGGCCUGAGAGGGCGGACGGACACACUGGGACUGAGACACGGCCCAGACUCCUACGGGAGGCAGCAGUGGGGAAUUGUUCGCAAUGGGCGCAAGCCUGACGACGCAACGCCGCGUGGAGGAUGAAGACCUUCGGGUCGUAAACUCCUUUCGAUCGAGACGAAUGUUUUUCGGGUGAACAAUCCGGAAA